UGUAAAGCAGGAAGUACCCAUGCAUCGGUCUUUUUUUUUGGCAGAUGAGCUUUUCUCACUUGUAGCUCAGUGCUUACAUACUACCUUAGUCUGUGCUGCUCUGUGCAUCCAUUUAACUGACUCAGGUUUGCAGCAGAUUUACACCCAGAUUUGUACAUAAUUUUCUAGAAGCUUUGAAAGAUUAAAACCACACCGUGGGUGAAUGAAGAGCAUGGAACUGUUUUUUAUCAUUGUGCUAUUAGUAGGAGGAACUCAAGCUCUCUUUCCAGUUGAUGCAACCACAUGUGACCUCAGGACAAACACAUGUCCAUGCUCUCCUCUUCUUGAAGGAACUGUGUAUGUCCAAGUGAUGACUGAUGCUAGUGGCCGUGAAAUGAAGUGUUUGAAGAUGCUUCCCAAGGGGAACAUAACUGUGUUCAGUCUGAAGAAAGAAAAAAUAACGACAGACAAGGAAUUUUACAACAGGCUAACGUUUAUAAUCAAGAACGGGACACUCAAGAUCACAAACCUGAAGAAGAGUGAUUCAGGUCAAUACAGCAUUGAGGUCUAUAAUUCAAAUGGAUUCCAAGAGAAAAACAUUUAUUUCACCCUGGAUGUUAAAGACAACAGCAAAGUUGAAAGCAAGUUAUCACACAGUUUUCCUUACCUGAGGAUAGUCUUUGCUGCACUGGGAUCUCCCCUGAUAGCAGUGUCGUGCUGCGUUGUGUAUCGGGAACUGAAGCAUCUUAAGAAGACUUCUAACAAGGCGGCCCAUGAUCAAAAGAGCCUCAGGUGUGAAACAGAGAAUAUAAACCUUAAGUGUGAGUCUGAGCUUUAG
RNAcentral lists this long non-coding RNA (817 nucleotides) under Oreochromis niloticus (Nile tilapia). Its description in RNAcentral is "lncRNA (ENSONIG00000033023.1)". The record is from RNAcentral. Lineage: Eukaryota; Metazoa; Chordata; Actinopteri; Cichliformes; Cichlidae.